UACAGAGGUCUCGAGCGUUAGGCGGAAUCACUGGGCUUAAAGCGUGUGUAGGCGGAUCGGUAAGUACCUUGUGAAAUCCCACAGCUUAACUGUGGAACUGCUUGGUAUACUGCCAGUCUUGAGCCACUUAGGGGCUACCGGAACAAAUGGUGGAGCGGUGAAAUGCGUAGAUAUCGGGAGGAACACCCGUGGUGUAGACGGCUUGCUGGACGGUCACUGACGCUGAGGCACGAAAGCGUGGGGAGCAAACAGG
This 253-nucleotide ribosomal RNA is filed under the name uncultured bacterium. RNAcentral describes it as "partial 16S ribosomal RNA". It matches the Rfam family "Bacterial small subunit ribosomal RNA", at positions 524 to 776 of the family's 1533-position model. The record is from RNAcentral.